This 466-nucleotide ribosomal RNA is filed under the name uncultured bacterium. RNAcentral's name for it is "partial 16S ribosomal RNA". It matches the Rfam family "Bacterial small subunit ribosomal RNA", at positions 28 to 507 of the family's 1533-position model. The record is from RNAcentral.
GAUGAACGCUGGCGGCGUGCUUAACACGUGCAAGUCGAACGGAAAGGCUCCUGCUUGCAGGGGUACUCGAGUGGCGAACGGGUGAGUAACACGUGGGUGAUCUGCCCUGCACUUCGGGAUAAGCUUGGGAAACUGGGUCUAAUACCGGAUAGGACCGCAUUUUGGAUGGUGUGGUGGAAAGUUUUUUCGGUGUGGGAUGAGCUCGCGGCCUAUCAGCUUGUUGGUGGGGUAAUGGCCUACCAAGGCGUCGACGGGUAGCCGGCCUGAGAGGGUGUACGGCCACAUUGGGACUGAGAUACGGCCCAGACUCCUACGGGAGGCAGCAGUGGGGAAUAUUGCACAAUGGGCGCAAGCCUGAUGCAGCGACGCCGCGUGGGGGAUGACGGCCUUCGGGUUGUAAACUCCUUUCGCUAGGGACGAAGAGUAAUUGACGGUACCUGGAGAAGAAGCACCGGCUAACUACGUG